Molecule: ribosomal RNA, 330 nt
Filed under: uncultured bacterium
Lineage: Bacteria
Description: bacterial SSU rRNA
Rfam family: Bacterial small subunit ribosomal RNA
Source: RNAcentral
CGCGUAGACGGUUUUGUAAGUCAGAUGUGAAAUCCCUGGGCUCAACCUGGGAACUGCAUUUGAUACUGCAUGGCUAGAGUAUGGAAGAGGGAAGUGGAAUUUCCGGUGUAGCGGUGAAAUGCGUAGAUAUCGGAAGGAACACCAGUGGCGAAAGCGACUUCCUGGUCCAUACUGACGUUCAUGUGCGAAAGCGUGGGGAGCAAACAGGAUUAGAUACCCUGGUAGUCCACGCCAUAAACGAUGACAACUAGAUGUUGGGAGGGUCUGCCUCUCGGUGUCGCAGCUAACGCGUUAAGUUGUCCGCCUGGGGAGUACGGCCGCAAGGUUGAA